RNAcentral lists this ribosomal RNA (440 nucleotides) under uncultured bacterium. RNAcentral's name for it is "partial 16S ribosomal RNA". It matches the Rfam family "Bacterial small subunit ribosomal RNA", at positions 338 to 795 of the family's 1533-position model. The record is from RNAcentral.
CCUACGGGAGGCUGCAGUGGGGGAUAUUGCACAAUGGGGGAAACCCUGAUGCAGCGACGCCGCGUGGGUGAAGAAGCGCCUCGGCGCGUAAAGCCCUGUCAGCAGGGAAGAAAAUGACGGUACCUGAAGAAGAAGCCCCGGCUAACUACGUGCCAGCAGCCGCGGUAAUACGUAGGGGGCAAGCGUUAUCCGGAUGUACUGGGUGUAAAGGGGGCGCAGACGGGGAUGCAAGCCAGGAGGGAAAGCCCGGGGCCCAACCCCGGGACUGCUCUUGGAACUGCGUGGCUAGAGUGCAGGAGGGGCAGGCGGAAUUCCUGGUGUAGCGGUGAAAUGCGUAGAUAUCAGGAGGAACACCGGUGGCGAAGGCGGCCUGCUGGACUGAAACUGACGUUGAGGCCCGAAAGCGUGGGGAGCAAACAGGAUUAGAUACCCCAGUAGUC